UCUGAGCUUGUCCAUGUUGGCCGUGGACAGGCGGCUGCACUGGUCUCUGAUAACCUCGUGCCGAUCGCACGUCCCUGUGACGGUGACGGAUGUCUGCGCUAUCAACUUUCAAAGCAAUUUUCCGCACCUACCAUGGUGACCACGUAUAACAGGGAAUCAGGGUUCGACUCCAGAGGGGGAGCCUGAGAAACGGCUACCACAUGCAAGGAAGGCAGCAGGCGCGCAAAUUACCCACUCCUGACGCGGAGAGGUAGUGACGA
This is a non-coding RNA of Pelobates cultripes (western spadefoot toad), 260 nucleotides long. NCBI's taxonomy places the organism in Eukaryota, Metazoa, Chordata, Amphibia, Anura, Pelobatidae. The record is from the annotation of a GenBank genome assembly.